This 819-nucleotide long non-coding RNA is filed under the name Salvia miltiorrhiza (redroot sage). RNAcentral's name for it is "long non-coding RNA (SMIL_LNC006914)". Lineage: Eukaryota; Viridiplantae; Streptophyta; Magnoliopsida; Lamiales; Lamiaceae. The record is from RNAcentral.
GAAAUUCCAAGACAAGAAUUACUGCUUCUGUUUAUACUUCACUUUACAAACCCCUAUUUUUCUAUCUAUCUACCAGUACUUAAAAAAAAAAAGAAUAGUGUAUGUGUGUGAAGAAAAUCUGCAGCUAUCCCUUAAGCAUGCUCAAGCAUGCUCAGCCAUCUAUUGACAUUUUUUUUUUUGACUCCAGCUCCAGCAGCAUAUCUGCAAAAUUUUCACACCCGAACACCUUCAUUUGGUUUCAGUUUUCAACAAACAAAUCUAAUCUCAUUAAUUCUUCAACCAAAAUCUCAAGUAUUCAACAGACAAAUCUAAUUUGUCAGCAGCAAAUAUAAUCUCAUUGAAUUCUUCAACCACGCCUAAACUUAGCCGCACUAUUCACCAUAUUUUUUCACACUAGCAGCUUCAGUAUUUACUCCCUAUAAAAGGCAUCCUCACUUACCUAAAAUCCUUAGCAGCUGCAAAGAAUUUUAGACGAAACAAGAUCACCAUAUAUAACUCAGCAACAACAACCAACAAACAAAACUUUCAAGGUAUUCACUAUCUCAUUUGCACGCUUCGGUUUAAUUAGGAAUACAGAAUGGUAGAGAACCUACAUAUGCAUAAAUGGACAUAGCAAAUAUAGCAAACCAUUCGUUUCUGUGAUACAUAAUGAGCUAUGAUAUGUUGUAAAAAUAAGAAUACAGAAAACCAAGUUUUCAUUCCAAAAUCAAGUCUUUAUACAAAGUUGAAUUUUCUGAAAAUUAUUCAAAUUUACGAACCUAUCGUGAGUGAUAAAACGAGAGAGAAAGGAUGGUGGAUUGUCGGAGCUCUGCGACUCAC